RNAcentral lists this ribosomal RNA (498 nucleotides) under marine sediment bacterium ISA-2656. RNAcentral's name for it is "bacterial SSU rRNA". It matches the Rfam family "Bacterial small subunit ribosomal RNA", at positions 36 to 513 of the family's 1533-position model. The record is from RNAcentral.
CUGGCGGCAGGCCUAACACAUGCAAGUCGAGCGGAAACGAGUUAACUGAACCUUCGGGGGACGUUAACGGCGUCGAGCGGCGGACGGGUGAGUAAUGCCUAGGAAAUUGCCCUGAUGUGGGGGAUAACCAUUGGAAACGAUGGCUAAUACCGCAUGAUGCCUACGGGCCAAAGAGGGGGACCUUCGGGCCUCUCGCGUCAGGAUAUGCCUAGGUGGGAUUAGCUAGUUGGUGAGGUAAGGGCUCACCAAGGCGACGAUCCCUAGCUGGUCUGAGAGGAUGAUCAGCCACACUGGAACUGAGACACGGUCCAGACUCCUACGGGAGGCAGCAGUGGGGAAUAUUGCACAAUGGGCGCAAGCCUGAUGCAGCCAUGCCGCGUGUGUGAAGAAGGCCUUCGGGUUGUAAAGCACUUUCAGUCGUGAGGAAGGUUUAUGCGUUAAUAGCGUAUAGAUUUGACGUUAGCGACAGAAGAAGCACCGGCUAACUCCGUGCCAGCA